GACAGAGGUGCCGAGCGUUAGGCGGAAUCACUGGGCUUAAAGCGUGUGUAGGUGGAUGCCUAAGUACCUUGUGAAAUCCCACGGCUUAACCGUGGAACUGCUCGGUAUACUGGGUGUCUUGAGCCAGCUAGGGGCUACCGGAACAAAUGGUGGAGCGGUGAAAUGCGUUGAUAUGCACAGGAACUCCGGUGGCGAAGGCGGCGAGCUGGACCCUUUCUGACGCUGAGGCGCGAAAGCCAGGGGAGCGAACGGG
This 253-nucleotide ribosomal RNA is filed under the name uncultured bacterium. RNAcentral's name for it is "partial 16S ribosomal RNA". It matches the Rfam family "Bacterial small subunit ribosomal RNA", at positions 524 to 776 of the family's 1533-position model. The record is from RNAcentral.